This 483-nucleotide ribosomal RNA is filed under the name Triticum aestivum (bread wheat). Its description in RNAcentral is "partial small subunit ribosomal RNA". Lineage: Eukaryota; Viridiplantae; Streptophyta; Magnoliopsida; Poales; Poaceae. The record is from RNAcentral.
AUGGAGGCGCUUUUUGAGAUUCGUGCUGAGGAGACUCGCUUACGUGGUGCUGGUUUGCUGGAGGUUCCCUCUGUGCUCGCUAUUCGGUCUUCUUCCACGCCACCUGCUGCACCGACCCCUUCUCGCUCGAGUGCUCCGCCGCUCUUGCCCACUCCUUCUGGAGGCUCAGGUCGCCCCCGUCCACAUUGCGAUUACUGCAAAAAUGAUGGUCAUAUUGAGUCCCAGUGCUACACGAAGAGGAAACACCUGCGCAAGGCGCGAUCAUCCUCUUCAGGGGCUUCGUCUUCUACCUCGACAGCUUCAGCCAUUGCUUUGACCGAGCAGGAUAUUCUGAGACUUAAGCGUCUGCUCACGGCUUCAAGUUCUUCCUCGACGGGUACUGUUGGUUCUGUGACCGAUGCUUCCCGCACUGAGCAACUGCCCUCUACACAGUCAGGACCGUCACACGCACACUCUGGUUGGGGCUGGCCCUCGCCGCCGUGA